This 76-nucleotide transfer RNA is filed under the name Oligoflexia bacterium. Its description in RNAcentral is "tRNA-Trp". It matches the Rfam family "tRNA". Rfam says of the family: Transfer RNA (tRNA) molecules are approximately 80 nucleotides in length. Their secondary structure includes four short double-helical elements and three loops (D, anti-codon, and T loops). The record is from RNAcentral. Lineage: Bacteria; Pseudomonadati; Bdellovibrionota; Oligoflexia.
AGGGCAGUAGCUCCAAUGGUAGAGCAGCGGAUUCCAAAUCCGCGUGUUGUGGGUUCGAGUCCCUCCUGCCCUGCCA